This is a long non-coding RNA of Oryctolagus cuniculus (rabbit), 870 nucleotides long. RefSeq lists it as uncharacterized. Lineage: Eukaryota; Metazoa; Chordata; Mammalia; Lagomorpha; Leporidae. The record is from RefSeq and is a predicted model, not a curated record.
CUGGGAAAGGGAAGGAUUGAUCCAGUUUUUUCUAGUGGAGUGGGAGGAGCACGUGGCAGUCAGCUGGGGAAGACAGCUGAGCCUGGUUCUGCCCACCUACUGCCCUCCCGCUGGCUGGCAGUAAAGGAGCCAGCCGCGCCCAGGCCCUGGCUUGCAGCGCUGUUGAUCACCUGACAGGGGACUCGCUGCUUUGCUGUCAGCCAGUUUGAAAUCUGAUGACGCUAGAACCACGAAGCAGAGGAAGGCCAUCAAACACCCGGAAGAAAUUCUGCCGGACUAGGAAGCCGCUGGGUACGCUGAUUGAGAUCAUGGAGUUGGGCUGGGGAGCUGUCCUGUACAACGACGCUGAGCUGAGGAACCUCCUGGACAACUUCCAGAAGCUGUUCUCCCAGCCUGCUCUGCCUCUCCAGGCUACACCUUCACUACGGUUACAAAAAUGAACACAAGAACAAUUAUUUCCUAAUUUGGAAAGGAUCACCUGAUACUUCUAUAUCCACUGGUGGAACACCUGUAUGGUCAUAGGCUCAUGCUGAUUAAAAUGUUGGAGGAGGGCUGGCACUGUGGCAUACAAGGCUAAGCCUCUGCCUACGGCACUAGAAUCCCAUAUGGGCACCAGUUCGAGUCCCAGCUGUUCCACUUCCAAUCCAGCUCUCUGUCAUGGCCUGGGAACACAGUGGAAAGUACCUGGACCCCUGCCCUCACAUGGAAGACUCUGAAGAAGCUCCUGGCUCCUGGCUUUGGAUUGGCACAGCUCUGGCCAUUGAGGCCAUCUGGGGAGUGAACCAGAAGACAGAAGACCUUUCUCUCUGUCUCUCUUUCUCUCUGUCUAUAACUCUGCCUCUCAAAUAAAGUCUUUUUUUUAAAAUGUUA